ACUCAAUACAAUGCUUUAAAUAAGAAACAUAAUGAAAACCCUAAUCUAAAGAAAACCCACGUUACAUAAUUUAAAGUGCAUGUAAAUAAAGCCCAUAAUAUAACUAGCCCAUACGACCAUAGGUUACUGAGUAUGAGUAUACGUGUCUUCGUACGCUGCAUCAGUCUCUCCGACUUCGAAAAGAUUUGACCUCGAUCUUAUUUUUCUGUAGAUACACUUGUUCAACUAUGUUGUUAUUUUCUUGGUACCAAAUUCCAAGCGUCUUUGUGUAUGUAGAGAUAGAGCCAUAAAACUUGAGACCUUUAACGCAUGCACUAACAAGAUCUUCAUCUUCUGGAAGUAAAUAUCGUGACCUCAACUCUGCACCGUUUACAUACUGUUUUCUUAGCACACCACAAGUUGAACACACGUGAUUCCACUGGCGGCUGAGAUUAGAAUCCCUUUUACUUUCAUGAGAUUCUCCAAAAUCUCCAUCAUGAAAUAUAAAAUCAACCAUCA
RNAcentral lists this long non-coding RNA (498 nucleotides) under Brassica napus (rape). RNAcentral's name for it is "long non-coding RNA (BNAP_LNC016043)". The record is from RNAcentral. Lineage: Eukaryota; Viridiplantae; Streptophyta; Magnoliopsida; Brassicales; Brassicaceae.